UAUGUGAUCGUCUCUCGCAUAUCAAUAAGCGGAGGAAAAGAAACUAACAAGGAUUCCCCUAGUAACGGCGAGUGAAGCGGGAAGAGCUCAAAUUUGAAAUCUUAAAGGGUUUCCCUUUACGAAUUGUAGUUUAAAGAAGUGUUUUCUGUUGAGGUUUUGGUAAAAGUUCUUUGGAAUAGGACAUCAUAGAGGGUGAGAAUCCCGUAUUUGACCUUUACUUUCAACUUUGUGAUACACUUUCAAAGAGUCGGAUUGUUUGGGAAUGCAGUCCAAAAUGGGUGGUAAAUUUCAUCUAAAGCUAAAUAUUGGCGAGAGACCGAUAGCGAACAAGUACCGUGAGGGAAAGAUGAAAAGAACUUUGAAAAGAGAGUUAAACAGUACGUGAAAUUGUCAAAAGGGAAGCGUUUGACACCAGUGUUGUUUUUCUGAAAAUCAAUUAAAGAACUGUUUAUGCUAAGUUGUUUAGACUUUAUCAGCUAACUGUUUAGUUUUGAGCUUUUCUUUAAUGCACUUUUCAGUUAACAAGUCAACAUCAAUUUCUUUUGCUGUAAAAAAGCUUGAGGAAGGUGGCUUGAGAUUCGUCUUAAGUGUUUAUAGCCUCUUGCCUAUGCAGUCGGAGAGAUUGAGGUCUGCAGCGUAGAUCCUUCGGGGCUAAAUGCAUUUGUGCUAAGUUAUAGCAUUUUCAUAGACAACUUGUUGACUAUGAUUUGUCUUGUAGCUUACUCGCUUAUGUUAUUUUACCUACGCUUAGGAUGUUGAUAUGCAUGACUGAUAU
Molecule: ribosomal RNA, 775 nt
Filed under: uncultured Neocallimastigales
Lineage: Eukaryota; Fungi; Neocallimastigomycota; Neocallimastigomycetes; Neocallimastigales
Description: partial large subunit ribosomal RNA
Rfam family: Eukaryotic large subunit ribosomal RNA
Source: RNAcentral